This 72-nucleotide transfer RNA is filed under the name Streptomyces phage TunaTartare. RNAcentral describes it as "tRNA-Cys". It matches the Rfam family "tRNA". From Rfam's summary of the family: Transfer RNA (tRNA) molecules are approximately 80 nucleotides in length. Their secondary structure includes four short double-helical elements and three loops (D, anti-codon, and T loops). Lineage: Duplodnaviria; Heunggongvirae; Uroviricota; Caudoviricetes; Stanwilliamsviridae. The record is from RNAcentral.
GUCCUUAUGUGCGAGUGGCUAGCAAGCAGUCUGCAAAACUGUACACGUCGGUUCGAAUCCGACUAAGGGCUC